AUGUCUGGGAAACUGCCUGAUGGAGGGGGAGUAACUACUGGAAACGGUAGCUAAUACCGCAUAACGUCGCAAGACCAAAGAGGGGGACCUUCGGGCCUCUUGCCAUCAGAUGUGCCCAGAUGGGAUUAGCUAGUAGGUGGGGUAACGGCUCACCUAGGCGACGAUCCCUAGCUGGUCUGAGAGGAUGACCAGCCACACUGGAACUGAGACACGGCCCAGACUCCUACGGGAGGCAGCAUG
RNAcentral lists this ribosomal RNA (240 nucleotides) under uncultured bacterium. RNAcentral's name for it is "partial 16S ribosomal RNA". It matches the Rfam family "Bacterial small subunit ribosomal RNA", at positions 113 to 353 of the family's 1533-position model. The record is from RNAcentral.